This 502-nucleotide ribosomal RNA is filed under the name uncultured bacterium. Its description in RNAcentral is "partial 16S ribosomal RNA". It matches the Rfam family "Bacterial small subunit ribosomal RNA", at positions 28 to 507 of the family's 1533-position model. The record is from RNAcentral.
GACGAACGCUGGCGGCGUGCUUAACACAUGCAAGUCGAACGGUGAAGGGGUCUGCUUUUGUGGGCCCUGGAUGAGUGGCGAACGGGUGAGUAACACGUGAGUAACCUGCCCCCUUCUUCUGGAUAACCGCAUGAAAGUGUGGCUAAUACGGGAUAUUCUGGGUCUGUCGCAUGAUGGGUCUGGGAAAGAUUGCGCCUUUGGGUGUUUUUGGUGGGGGAUGGGCUCGCGGCCUAUCAGCUUGUUGGUGGGGUGAUGGCCUACCAAGGCGGUGACGGGUAGCCGGACUGAGAGGGUGGACGGUCACACUGGGACUGAGACACGGCCCAGACUCCUACGGGAGGCAGCAGUGGGGAAUAUUGCACAAUGGGCGCAAGCCUGAUGCAGCGACGCCGCGUGAGGGAUGGAGGCCUUCGGGGUGUAAACCUCUUUCGCCAGUGAAGCAGGCCUGCUCAUUGUGGGUGGGUUGACGGUAGCUGGAGAAGAAGCGCCGGCUAACUACGUG